AACGAACGCUGGCGGCAUGCCUAACACAUGCAAGUCGAACGAGACCUUCGGGUCUAGUGGCGCACGGGUGCGUAACGCGUGGGAACCUGCCCUUAGGUUCGGAAUAACUCUCCGAAAGGGGUGCUAAUACCGGAUAAUGUCUUCGGACCAAAGAUUUAUCGCCCUUGGAUGAGCACGCGUUGGAUUAGCCAGUUGGUAGGGUAAAAGCCUACCAAGGCGACGAUCCAUAGCUGGUCUGAGAGGAUGAUCAGCCACUCUGGGGGUGGGACACGGCGCAGACUACUACGGGAGGCAGCAGUGGGGAAUAUUGGACUAUGGGCGAAAGCCUGAACCAGCAAUGCCGCGUGAGUGAUGAAGGCCUUAGGGUUGUAAAGCUCUUUUACCCGGGAUGAUAAUGACAGUACCGGGAGAAUAAGCUCCGGCUAACUCCGUG
RNAcentral lists this ribosomal RNA (433 nucleotides) under uncultured bacterium. RNAcentral describes it as "partial 16S ribosomal RNA". It matches the Rfam family "Bacterial small subunit ribosomal RNA", at positions 29 to 507 of the family's 1533-position model. The record is from RNAcentral.